Long non-coding RNA from Cotesia glomerata, 906 nucleotides. RefSeq lists it as uncharacterized. Lineage: Eukaryota; Metazoa; Arthropoda; Insecta; Hymenoptera; Braconidae. The record is from RefSeq and is a predicted model, not a curated record. The transcript has 4 exons.
UUUUGGGGUUAUACAAUAUUGACAUCGACGAUAAUAAUGAUAUCAAUUUUGAUUUGGACGACGAUGAUUUAAUCAUACGUAUUCCAAAACGUUAUAUUCGAGAUGUGCAAGAUCCGUUUGAUUUUUAUUCAGACAUCGAAUUCAAGCAAAGAUAAAGAUUUGACAAGGAUAGUGUUAAAUUUGGAAUAUUACCUCUUAUAGAACAAAAUUUAACUAAAGUCAAUAAACAAGGAUUACCAAUUCCACCAAUUUUUCAAUUAUUAAUAUGUUUGCGAUUUUAUGCAACUGCAAGUUUUCAGCUCAUUUUAGGUGAUACCAUGACAGUAUCACAACCAACAGUUUCCAGAAUAGUUUUUCGGGUGAGCGUUUUACUUGCAAGCAAAAUUCGUGAUUACAUUAAAAUGCCUCGAACUCAAGCAGCAAAAUUAGAAAACCAGAGACUUUUUGAACGUUUGGGAUUUGGUAAUGGAGCAAUUGGAAUACCCGGGGUUGAUGGAGCAAUUGAUUGCACUCAUAUCCGAUUAGUUCAUACAAGGUUUCAAAAUAUUAAUGAAAUCUACAGAAAUUGAAAGGGCUAUGUUUCUCUGAAUGUACAAACGAUUGUUGGCCCACGGAUGGAAUUUUUAGAUAUUGUUCCAGAAUAGCCUGGUAGCGCUCAUGAUAGUCGAAUUUUUCAAAAUUCUCGAAUUUUCAUGAGAUAUUCUGAACGUGAAUUAACUGGGAUACUUGUCGGUGUUGCUGGAUAUCCAUGCCUACCUUUUCUAAUGACGCCCAUUGCCAAUCCAGUUACAGAUGAACAAAUAACCUAUAAUAAUAUCCAGAACAGAACUCGAAUAAUAGUUGAAAGGACUUACGGUGUUUGGAAGCGAAGAUUUCCUUGUUUAUUAAGAGGAUUAACGAAUAAAC